This 429-nucleotide ribosomal RNA is filed under the name Gemmatimonadota bacterium. RNAcentral's name for it is "Gemmatimonadetes bacterium partial 16S ribosomal RNA". It matches the Rfam family "Bacterial small subunit ribosomal RNA", at positions 355 to 776 of the family's 1533-position model. Lineage: Bacteria; Pseudomonadati; Gemmatimonadota. The record is from RNAcentral.
UAGGGAAUCUUCGGCAAUGGACGAAAGUCCGACCGAGCAACGCCGCGUGAGUGAAGAAGGUUUUCGGAUCGUAAAACUCUGUUGUUAGAGAAGAACAAGGACGUUAGUAACUGAACGUCCCCUGACGGUAUCUAACCAGAAAGCCACGGCUAACUACGUGCCAGCAGCCGCGGUAAUACGUAGGUGGCAAGCGUUGUCCGGAUUUAUUGGGCGUAAAGCGAGCGCAGGCGGUUUCUUAAGUCUGAUGUGAAAGCCCCCGGCUCAACCGGGGAGGGUCAUUGGAAACUGGGAGACUUGAGUGCAGAAGAGGAGGGUGGAAUUCCAGGUGUAGCGGUGAAAUGCGUAGAUAUAUGGAGGAACACCAGUGGCGAAGGCGGCUCUCUGGUCUGUAACUGACGCUGAGGCUCGAAAGCGUGGGGAGCAAACAGG